AACGAACGCUGGCGGCAGGCCUAACACAUGCAAGUCGAGCGCACCUUCGGGUGAGCGGCGGACGGGUUAGUAACGCGUGGGAACGUGCCCUUCUCUAAGGAAUAGCCACUGGAAACGGUGAGUAAUACCUUAUACGCCCUUCGGGGGAAAGAUUUAUCGGAGAAGGAUCGGCCCGCGUCUGAUUAGAUAGUUGGUGGGGUAACGGCCUACCAAGUCUACGAUCAGUAGCUGGUUUUAGAGGAUGAUCAGCAACACUGGGACUGAGACACGGCCCAGACUCCUACGGGAGGCAGCAGUGGGGAAUCUUAGACAAUGGGGGCAACCCUGAUCUAGCCAUGCCGCGUGAGUGAUGAAGGCCUUAGGGUCGUAAAGCUCUUUCGCCUGUGAAGAUAAUGACUGUAGCAGGUAAAGAAACCCCGGCUAACUCCGU
RNAcentral lists this ribosomal RNA (430 nucleotides) under uncultured Paracoccaceae bacterium. RNAcentral's name for it is "bacterial SSU rRNA". It matches the Rfam family "Bacterial small subunit ribosomal RNA", at positions 29 to 506 of the family's 1533-position model. The record is from RNAcentral. Lineage: Bacteria; Pseudomonadati; Pseudomonadota; Alphaproteobacteria; Rhodobacterales; Paracoccaceae.